Long non-coding RNA from Ricinus communis (castor bean), 2585 nucleotides. RefSeq lists it as uncharacterized. NCBI's taxonomy places the organism in Eukaryota, Viridiplantae, Streptophyta, Magnoliopsida, Malpighiales, Euphorbiaceae. The transcript has 4 exons. The record is from RefSeq and is a predicted model, not a curated record.
UAAUAUCUAUAAUUCCUAACAGGUUCCUGUCUAUGAUCUUCUUGCCCUACAUCUACUCCAACAUUGUGCCUAUUACCAUAAUUCCCUCCAAGUGCGACAAUUUGAUUUAAAGACUUUAAUACUUAAGGCAAGGUACAAAGAGUGUUGAAGAUUACUUUAAGGAAAUGAAGAUGUUGAUGACUAGGCUAGAUUUAGUGGAGGAUAGAGAAGUCAUAAUGGCAUGUUCCCUUAGAGGAUUAAACAAAGAAAUUAUUGAUAGGGUUGAGUUACAACAUUAUGUGAAGAUUGAUGAGAUGAUGCACAUUGCCAUCAAAGUGAAAAAAUAACUCAAAUUGAAAUUACCAGUAAAGAAUGACUUCAAGGGCAAUUCUAGUUUUGAACUAAAUUGGAACAACUCUUGGAAAAGAGGUAAAUAAGAUGAUAACAAAUCUGUUUUGCAGGAUAACAAAGUAAAAGGGAGUUCGGACACCAAAGUACAAAUUAAACCUGAAUGGAACAAAAGCAGAAGUAGAGACAUUAAGUACUUUAAGUGUUUGUGAAAUGGACAUAUUUUCUUCCUAAUGUCCAAACAAGCGAGCUAUGAUGGUUAGAGAGUAUGGCGAGAUUGAAUCCAAAAGUGAGGAUAGUGACAAUGAAGAUAACAAAAAUCCACAAUUAGGAGAUUGCAGUGAUGAUGGUGUUGAAGAGCCAAUAAGGGGUGAUCUUUUGGUUGUUAGGUGUACACUCAAUGCACAAAUGAAGGAUAAUGAUAUGUAACAGUAAAUGGAUAAUAUUUUCCAUACUAAGUGCCAUGUACAAGGAGUUUGAUGAUUUUUUCCUGAAGAUAUGCCAAUCAAUUUACCACUAGAAAAGGGUAUAGAACAUAAAAUCAACUUCGUGCCAGGGACUGCCACACUAAAUAGACCAGCCUAUCGAAGCAAUCUCAAAAAAAUAAAGGAUUUUCAAUGACAAGUGGAUGAGCUAAUAAUAAAAGGGUAUAUGCGUGAGAGCUUGAGUCCUUGUGCAGUUCCAGUAAUUUUAGUUCCAAAAAGGGAUGGCACGUGGAGAAUGUGUGUCGACUAUCGUGCAAUUAGCAAAAUAACGGUAAAGUAUCGUCAUCCUAUCCUAAGAUUAAAUGAUAUGCUUGAUGAGCUACAUAGUGCAUGUCUUUUUACUAAGAUAAAUCACAUUAUCAGAUUCACAUGAAAACUAGGGAUGAGUGAGAAACAGCUUUCAACACCAAAUAUAGUCUAUAUGAGUGGUUAGUUAUAUCAUUUAGGUUAACAAAUGCAUCUAAUACAUUCAUGAGAUUAAUGAAUCAUGUGUUGCAUGAAUUUCUUGGCAAAUUUGUAGUUGUAUAUUUUGAUGACAUCUUAAUUUAUUCUAAGAAUCUUGAUGAUCAUAUUUUUCAUGUUAGAUGUGUCUUAGAUGUUCUUAAGAAGGAGAGGCUAUUUGCCAAUCUUAAAAAGUGUGGUCUUUGUUUAGAUCGAGUCAUUUUUAUUAGUUUUGUAAUUAGUUCUAAUGGUUUAAAGGUUGAUGAAGAAAAGGUUAAAGUUAUCCAAGAAUAGCCGACACCUCAUAACAUUAGCCAAGUUAGAAGUUUCCAUGGUUUGGCUAGCUUUUAUUGGCGGUUCAUUAGGGACUUUAGUAGCUUAGCCGCACCAUUAAAUGAGAUAGUUAAAAAAAAUAUUGGGUUUCAUUAGGGUGAUGCACAAGAAUAUGCAUUUAAUUUACUUAAAGAUAAAUUGUGUAAUGCAUCUUUAUUGAUUUUACCUAACUUUGAUAAGAUCUUUGAGAUUGAGUGGGAUGCUAGUGGCACUGAAGUUGGGGCUGUUUUGAUGUGAGAGGGAAGACCCAUAUGUUACUUUAGUGAAAAAUUGAAUGGGGCAGCAUUAAGGUACCUAAUAUAUGAUAAGGAGCUAUAUGCAUUGGUUAGUGUAUUGCAAACUUGGCAACAUUAUUUAUGGCCCAAAGAGUUUGUAAUGCACAUAGAUCAUGAAUCUUUGAAGCAUCCUAAAGGGCAAGACAAGCUAAAUUGAAGGCAUGCAAAGUGGAUGGAAUUCAUUGAGACCUUUCCAUAUGUGAUCAAGCACAAGAAAAGUAUUUCCAAGGUAGAUUUAGUGAAGAAGAUGCACAAAUAAGUGAAAGAUAGGAUUGAGAAGCAAAAUGAAAGGAUAGCCGAAAGGGUAAACAAAGGAAGAAAGAAAGUUUUGUUAAAGCCUGAUGAUUGGGUUUGGGUCCAUUUUCGAAAAGAAAGGUAUCCAAACUAAAGAAAGUCAAAAUUGAGUCCAAGAGGUACUAGCCCUUUCAAGUUCUUGAGAAGAUGAAUGAUAAUGCAUACAAGGUAGACUUAUAAGAAGGAGGGAAUGAUACAGACGGGCUAGCAUAAGAAAAGCUUGAAGAUGAUGGGCUUGAGGAGGAGUACGCAAGGAAAGCUAAUGAUGCUAAAGAUGGCCUAAACUUGGCACAAGGCCCAACAACAAGGAUUAGAGCCAAGAAGUUGCAACAAGCCUUAAAUGGCUAUACAUAAAAUUGGGCUAGCAAAAAGAGUCCAUUUGAAGGCCCAAGAUCCACAACUAUUAAGGAGCAUCAAGAUUGGGAUUUAU